GUCCACGCCGUAAACGAUGGAUACUAGCCGUUGGGGUCUUUGAGACUUUAGUGGCGCAGCUAACGCGAUAAGUAGACCGCCUGGGGAGUACGGUCGCAAGACUAAAACUCAAAUGAAUUGACGGGGGCCCGCACAAGCGGUGGAGCAUGUGGUUUAAUUCGAUGCAACGCGAAGAACCUUACCUGGUCUUGACAUAGUAAGAACUUUUCCAGAGAUGGAUUGGUGCCUUCGGGAACUUACAUACAGGUGCUGCAUGGCUGUCGU
RNAcentral lists this ribosomal RNA (264 nucleotides) under uncultured bacterium. Its description in RNAcentral is "partial 16S ribosomal RNA". It matches the Rfam family "Bacterial small subunit ribosomal RNA", at positions 793 to 1055 of the family's 1533-position model. The record is from RNAcentral.